Molecule: long non-coding RNA, 626 nt
Organism: Gorilla gorilla gorilla (western lowland gorilla)
Lineage: Eukaryota; Metazoa; Chordata; Mammalia; Primates; Hominidae
Exons: 4
Source: RefSeq, a predicted model, not a curated record
CUACUGUGUCCUUAGUAUCCUAGGGGGAAUGUCUGGAAAAGACCAUUCUGAUCCUCAAGGAGCUUCCAAUUAAAUGAGUGAAACAGCCUCUAAACAAGCCGCUGGAACCUGGGGUGAUGACAGCAACAUCAUGCGUCACACUGUGCAUCGUAGUCAUCUCCUUAAAUCCUCAAAACAAUCUGGUACAAUUGGUAUUAUUGCCGUCAUCUUACAGAUCAGAAAACCAAGGAAUGGAGUAGCUUAGGUUCCAUUCCACUCAAGAAUGGAAUCAAGCUCCGGUGGAACCCAAAGUCCAUGCUGUUGACUUCUACGCUGAUGUGGGACAUGAUAUUCAAAAGCUUGAAAGAAUUUGUCGCCAGAAGGCUUCACUAUACAAGAUAUGUUAAAGGACGUCCCUCAGGCAGAAAGAAGACGAUACCAGAUGGAAAUCUGGAUCAACACAAAGAAAUGAAGAGCACUAGAAAUGCAGGUAGCAGUAAAGGGCGGGAGGAACAGCACAUUAUAUCACUUUCCCACUAGAUGGAUGUCAAGCACCUAGAGGAAAGGAAGACACGUCUCCAUGCAAAGACUACAGGCUAACAGUGUAGAUUGCUGCAAUGAUGCUUCCCUACACACGUGAGUAUUCA